Molecule: ribosomal RNA, 143 nt
Filed under: uncultured eukaryote
Lineage: Eukaryota
Description: partial 18S ribosomal RNA
Rfam family: Eukaryotic small subunit ribosomal RNA
Source: RNAcentral
UGGUGGAGCGAUUUGUCUGGUCUAUUCCGAUAACGAACGAGACUCUAGCCUACUAAAUAGUUCGGGGACCCCCACAAAGGGGCCCCGCUUCAACUUCUUAGAGGGACAGGUGGCGUUUAGCCACACGAGAUUGAGCAAUAACA